This is a long non-coding RNA of Saccostrea cuccullata (small rock oyster), 530 nucleotides long. RefSeq lists it as uncharacterized. The transcript is spliced from 3 exons. The record is from RefSeq and is a predicted model, not a curated record. NCBI's taxonomy places the organism in Eukaryota, Metazoa, Mollusca, Bivalvia, Ostreida, Ostreidae.
GCAGAGUGAAAUUUGUAGUUAUUUUUAUCAAUUUAUUAUGAUUAUUCAAUUUAUUAUUUUCAUUAUUUAGAAAAAUUAUUUGAAUCAUGAAUUUGUUGAAUAUUAAUAUAUUUUAGCUACUGUAAGUUAUUUUCUAAGAUAAGUGUAUCACUCAUGUGAAUAUUUUUAACUUUUGCACACUGUAUCUAUAUUUAGAGGGAAUACCCUUUUCCUUGUUUUUUAUUGGUCAGUGUGGUCAAUUGUAAAGAAUUUGGUCAUGUGAUACAUUUGGAGGGAAGUUUUCUAUUGUGUGUUAAAUGUAUAGUUCCUGUGCUGUAGUCUUUGUUGUGUCAUCCAUUUUUUUGUCCAGAAUUUUAUACCUGUUACAGUAAUUGGAAUCUUUUCUCAUUAUCAGAAUUCUCAUGAUCAAAGGAUGUAGACAGUAGAUUACUUAUUGUAAGACGACCUUUACACCUCAUGUGAGGGUCAAUCUGAAUCAUUCUAUCAUCUGUCAUUUCAUCAAUGUAUCCAAAUAAAUGGUGUAAACGUUA